AUUCUUUGGAGUUCCCUGUGAACACUAGGAUCACCAGCCUCCCCCAUUUCACCUCAUUCAGUUCCUUUCUUAUGAAAUGGAUUCCACCACUGUGUUCUUCGGAAACACCCCGUCUUCAACCCCAUGAGAGGUUCACGAAGAUCAAGUUCUCCAAGGCCUGCCCAUGGUCAGCCAUGUGUCCCAUCCCACAUUCUCACACGACUCCUGUGUGAUUUUGUUCAUCACAGUAGUAUGUCUCAGAUGUUUGUCUUCCUUGCCUGACUUUGUCAAGCAGCAAUUUGAUGUUGCUGGCUUUACAUCUGGGCUUGAGCGCACUUGCUUCUCCUGACGCACUUGGGACAUUAAAUUGCUUACAUCUUCAGGCAACAUCCUGACCUGAUGUGGCCCUGCCUCCUUGGUCUAUUGGCGUUUGCUGGAGUGCUCCACCCACCCGUCUUGUGACCUAUUCUGUUUUCUUGCAGGAUCUCAUUUGAACUCCAUGUUCCCCAGAGAUAUCCUUCUCUUCCUUAUUUCUGGUUAUCUAUUCACCGAAUUUCACAGUUAAUCACAACCCCACACUGAAGAGCCCAGGUUCCUGGAAUGGGUUGCCCUUGGCUGGAGGUGGGAAUUACAACUGGACUGCUGAGAUCUAGGGAAGAACCAGCACUUCCGGAUCAGAAACCCUCCUAACGGACUCAAUUCUGGACGCCAGGAUAAAAACCAGCAAAACCUCUUCCAAGCCAUAGUUAAAUUUAACAUUGUUGCUGAGUAGUUUCUGUUGGCCAGAGGUUGUCCAGGUGAUAUGAAUAUAGAGAUGAAUAAUUUAUUUCUUUUCUGCUCUGGUUCAGAAAGGAUCUGAAGCAGAUUGUGGCUGAAGUAUAUAAAAUAAAAAUCCAAAUGCAAGUGUGUAAAACUCA
This is a long non-coding RNA of Mastomys coucha (southern multimammate mouse), 896 nucleotides long. RefSeq lists it as uncharacterized. Lineage: Eukaryota; Metazoa; Chordata; Mammalia; Rodentia; Muridae. The record is from RefSeq and is a predicted model, not a curated record. The transcript is spliced from 2 exons.